RNAcentral lists this ribosomal RNA (497 nucleotides) under uncultured bacterium. RNAcentral's name for it is "partial 16S ribosomal RNA". It matches the Rfam family "Bacterial small subunit ribosomal RNA", at positions 28 to 507 of the family's 1533-position model. The record is from RNAcentral.
GAUGAACGCUGGCGGCGUGCCUAAUACAUGCAAGUCGAGCGAACAGACGAGGAGCUUGCUCCUCUGACGUUAGCGGCGGACGGGUGAGUAACACGUGGAUAACCUACCUAUAAGACUAGGAUAACUUCGGGAAACCGGAGCUAAUACCGGAUAAUAUAUUGAACCGCAUGGUUCAAUAGUGAAAGACGGUUUUGCUGUCACUUAUAGAUGGAUCCGCGCCGCAUUAGCUAGUUGGUAAGGUAACGGCUUACCAAGGCAACGAUGCGUAGCCGACCUGAGAGGGUGAUCGGCCACACUGGAACUGAGACACGGUCCAGACUCCUACGGGAGGCAGCAGUAGGGAAUCUUCCGCAAAGGGCGAAAGCUUGACGGAGCAACGCCGCGUGAGUGAUGAAGGUCUUCGGAUCGUAAAACUCUGUUAUUAGGGAAGAACAAAUGUGUAAGUAACUAUGCACGUCUUGACGGUACCUAAUCAGAAAGCCACGGCUAACUACGUG